AUCCCUGUAGAGCAUUGGAUAGCGCGCGUUGGGCUUCUAAUCCAAAGGUCGUAGGUUCGAAUCCUACCUGGGAUG
Trichonephila clavipes is the source of this 75-nucleotide non-coding RNA. Lineage: Eukaryota; Metazoa; Arthropoda; Arachnida; Araneae; Nephilidae. The record is from the annotation of a GenBank genome assembly.